GACAACCGUGGCUUUGACAAUGCCUUCCCUCAACCCCCUUUCUGCUCCUGCUGUGACACUUGCAUUCAAGAGCAAGGACGUCUGCCAUCCGAUGCAUGGACAAUGGAAUGAGGAAUACAAGGCAGCGGGGAAGAAAGGAAAUCAGAUGAAUUCUGAGCUAAGAUGGCAGGGUUCUCACCUUUUCCAUUUUGGGGAAUUUUUUUGUUUUUUGGGUUUUUUUUUUUUUUUUUGCCAAAAAUAAAAAGUCUGGAUGGAGUCUUCCCGCAGAGAAGAAAUAAAAAGAGUGUUUGAAUUGUUGGAUGGUUCUGAAGGCUUCUGAAUUUGCAAACGAAUUUUAGAACUAUUUGCAGAGGUCUACUUGCUGCCAGUCAUCUCUCUCUCUCUCUCUUUCUCUUCUGUUUUAUGUCCUGCUAUCUCCAUCAUGCCUCUGUUACUAUGAAGACUUUCUGCCUGUGAAACCUCAAAAAAAUCGACCCUUCCGAAAACCAAUGCUCUGCCUUUCGUUUUCAAGGACAUUAAAAUAUUGCUAACUUGAAUACACAAGAAGAAAGAGGGUGGUAUAAGU
This 565-nucleotide long non-coding RNA is filed under the name Homo sapiens (human). Its description in RNAcentral is "non-protein coding lnc-UBASH3B-2:7". The record is from RNAcentral. Lineage: Eukaryota; Metazoa; Chordata; Mammalia; Primates; Hominidae.